This 5721-nucleotide long non-coding RNA is filed under the name Gossypium barbadense (sea-island cotton). RNAcentral describes it as "long non-coding RNA (GBAR_LNC021312)". The record is from RNAcentral. Lineage: Eukaryota; Viridiplantae; Streptophyta; Magnoliopsida; Malvales; Malvaceae.
AAUUACCUGUCCUCGCCUGGGUUGAUAACAGUUUCGUCGAUGAACCUUUGGAUUGCAUUCAUGAACUUUUUGCCAUCCCCCGAGCUUGUAAGCAAUUCAAGAACACGAAAAGGUAAUUGGUUUUCCAACAAGAACAGAUCCGAGUACACAAAUGUCAGCAAAUCGUCUUUAAUAAACAAUUUACCAUCAUCAUCAUCAUCAUCAUCAUCACCGUAACGCCUGUAAACUGCUUGUAAAAUUGCGCAGCCGUCAACGAAGAAAAUCCAAGCCAGUUUCUCGUUAUCGUUGCUAUAGUUCUCUAAUCCCUUUGGAUCAUAGCAUUUCUUUAACUCAUCGAUCUCUGUCUUCAUGUUGUUGUACAAGGUAUCCUUAUCGACGCCAAUUUUUUUGACGAAAAGUGCUGCUAAUUUGAGCUUGAGCUUCUCGGAUUUAUGGAAGGUGGGAUCAUCGUGGUGGAGUGGGCCGAUUGAGAUCACUUUCGGCUUGAAAUACUUACUGAAAUCUUCGUGACGACCAAGGGUUGAUGGGACUCUUUGUAUCAAUGGUUUGGCACGGAGGUCGAUUUCGUCGCCGUCGAAAGCUUCGUCUAAUGACCGGAGAUUCACUACUUCGCCAACGCUGAGAGGGACGUCCAUAUCAAUGCUCACGGAAUCGUUGUUGUCGGUGAUUGUUUGAUCAGUGGGAGCUGCUCCGACGGCGCCGCCUCCUUCCUCCGUGGAGGACAUUUUCAGGCUGAGCGGUUGGAAGUAAUAAACAAGGUGAUUUUGUAAACUGUUUUUGGCAGAGUGAGUGAUGUUGGAGAAAAGGUAGCAAAGUGGAUAAGAUGAUGACAAAUAUUUUGUAGCUUACAUGAUAAACAUAUAUGGGAAAUACUUAAGGCGUUAGUGUUUAUAUUUUUACUAAUAUAAACAAUGAUAAAAAAGAAAAGUUAAAUAGUGACAAAUACUAAAAUUGAGAAUAAUAUUAUGGAACCUAAAUACUCAACACUACUCAAAACCUUCGCCUUUAACCAAGAAACUAAGACCCUAUCUGAGGGAGAAUUUUAUAUCUACAACACUUCCUAAAUUUCAUUAGCUUAAUAAUAGCUAUUCAAAUAUAUUUUUUCAUUUUAUUACUGACUUUAAUAUUUAAAUUAUCAUUAUAUUGCAUGAUUUAUUCCAAAUAUUUACAUAUAGUAAUUGCAUUUGUAAUUCUACCUAACUAUGAAAAAUCUCAAAUUUGCAACAUGUUAUUCACAUGCCAACCAACCAAUAUAUUAUUCCUACCAACCAAUUUAUCAUUCACAUUCCAACUUUCUAAAUCCAUCAAAUAUUUCAUAUUCAUGUACUAACAAAGAUCAUGCCAAGAACCCACAUGCAAAGUCAUUGUAUAGUACCACAUUUAACUCAAUCGGACUUUUACACAACUAAAGAUUACUCCAAACGUUUAUAUGCAUGUCACAAUCCUUCACUCAAAAUGAUAAAAAAAACUAUUAAAUUGACGAUAAAAUAGUUUAAGCUUCGACCGAUUCAACCGACGUGUUCUAGCAUAUAAUAUGUUUAGUAAGCUCAUAUGGAAACUAAAACUUACCUAGAUCAAUUGAACAUAAAAAAUUACUCAAUAAGCUAUCGAAUUAAUUUUUCCCUGACACUUAUAUACAUAUAGUACAUCUAAUAAAAUUUCUGUUAAAGAAAAGCAAUUUGACUCUUUUUCUAAAAAGUUAAUAACUAAAUUUAGCUCAAAUAAAAAAAAAGAAUAAAAGUCAAUUUGAUAAAAAAUAUAAAUAUUAAAAAUUAAAUUUAUCAUUAUAUCUUUUUUAAGUAAUUAUUUGUGGUGAGCCAUCAUGUCUGACGAUGAUUUUUAAAUACUGUAUUAAUUAUAUAUAGCACAUCAUAUUUCACUAUAAUUUCUAUAGACUUUUUAAACAUGGGGUUAAUUGUUUAUGGCCCAUUGCCCAUGUUGCUUUUAUUAAAUUUUGGGUGAACUUCUCAUUUUGGUCAAAAAAAAAUUGUAUUCUCAGUAUAAAACAAAAAACUAAUCUUUAAUGUUUAUGGCCAAACCCCACCUCUCCUAUCCUAUAAUAAUGGUUCUUGGCUUCUUCUAUCCUACACCUCAAUUAUUUGGAUUAGAUUGAAAAACAAUUGACACUUGAUUUGAUUGUGAAAUAAAGUUAAAUUUUAAAUUUAUAAUAUUUAAUUUGAGUGUGAAUGAAUUUUUGACUUAAUUGAAAAUUUAAAAUUUUAAGUUCGAGUCGUAUUUAAUUAUGUGUGUAUAUCGUGUAUAAAUUUUGUUCAAAUUUAUUUUGAUUUAAUUUUCAUACUAUAUAUUCUUAAUUAAAUUCGGAAUAUAUUUUGAUUAUCAAUUUAACCAUACAUUGUAACGAUGGAUUAAAAUUAUAGUUAAUUAUAUAUUGAAACUAAAUAAUUAGUUUAAGGAAUUAAAAGAUAUUAUUAUAUUUUAUAAAAUUUGAAUAGAUUCAUAAUUAAUUCGAGAUUAAAAAAUGGGAGAAGAAAAGCUAAAACCAAACCUUUUUUACGGUUGGAACUAAACCCCAUGCGGUGUGGAAAAUUGCAAGUUUCCAGAAUAUACCUACACUUACUAAUUAUAAUAAAUAUCUUUUACUUAGUAAUAAUAAAUAAUAAAUAUAUAUUUACUAAUUAAAUAUAAAUAUUACAAAUGUACAUAUAUUUUGUUUACAAUUGUACAAUAUCAUCACCAUCCAUUUGGCAAAUUUGAUUUGUUCAUAUAAUGUUAAUUUAUAACUAAUAUAAAUUACCGUAUAAUAAAAUAAUUAUGUACAUUAUAAUUUAAUAAUAAUUAAACAAUAAAAAUCUUAGAUUUUUUAUCAACAUUUGCCGCCUCAUUUAUGGUGAAUGGUAUAUCUCCCAUUUUGGUCCCCCUUUCUUUUUAUUAAUUCUUUUUCCUAAUUUCUCCUAAUUAAGCUAAAUUCACUUAAUUAAAUCCUAAUUAAACACACAACUAGCCUCACAAAUAUUCUUAAUAAAACAUUUACAAACUCGGUUUACUAAGACAGAAGCCCUAUAACUCACUUUUUCGGUGCCCGUGAAUUUUGGGCCAUUACACAUUCUUCCGUGGAUAACAUUUUUAGGCUGAGCGGUUCGAAGUAAUUACCAAGGUGAUUUUGUAAACUGUUUUUGGCUAAGUGAGUGAUGUUGGUGAAAAGGUGGCAAAAUGGCUACAAUGUUUCUAUAGCUUAUAUAUAAUGAACAUACGGAAAAUAUUUUUGUGUAAUAUCAAAUUUAGCCCUUAAUAUUUAUAAUUUUACCAAUUUGAUUCUUAUUCUUUUUAGUUAAAUUUAAUUCUCUACCUUUUGAAAGUGUCAAAUUUUCUUGGCUGGAAGCUCACUGCAUGGAAGCCAAAAUCAAAACAAACUUUUGAUGGUUUAAUUGUUUUUGAGCCCUUCAAUUUCAGGUGCUAUGAGAAAUGGAUUACAACCUCAUCUUGUCGUUAUCCCAAAAUCAAAACAAGCAACUCUUGGUUGAAAGUUGAAACCAAGGGCCAAGUCAAAAUUGUUUUAGGAUGAGUCCAAAAUGAAUAAUGAAUUUGAAGGUUCAAAAUAAAAUUUUAUUAAUAUAUAAAUUUAUAAUUUCAUAAAUUUUAAAAGGAUUAAAUGAUAAAUUUACUAAUUUAAGAAGACAAUAGGGAUGGUCAAAUAUUCUAAUUGAACCUAUCUGCGAUCGGAUCGGGAUGGAUUUUUUUAAUUAAAAAAAUUAAAUAGAUUGAAUCGAAAUUCUAGGAGUUACAAAAUUCUCAUAAAUAACAAGAGUUUACAAAAAGUACACUUACUUUGGUUGAUGUAUGGUAUAAUAAGCCUGCAAAGCACCGAUAAAAAGUGCACCAAUGGCACCCACAAAUGCGAAAAACGUCCAACGAGUCCUAAAAAAAGUACGGUAAACUUGAGCUGGAUAUGUAAUCCACAUAUUGUUAUGAUGAUCAUGUAUUUGCAGUUUAACAUGUCUGUAAAUCAUCAGACUAGGAACCAAAUCCAUGUUCAUCUUCUUGAUAAGCUUAGCCACUUCUUUAUCACUCCCAAAUCCAUGGUAUAGUAUGCCUGCGUCUCUCAGUUCCUUAACAUCUUCGGCUUCAUCGAUCAAUGAAUCAAGGAAACCCAUAUAUGAAGUGACGGUGAAAUUGUUGUAGAAAUCCGGACAAUUUCGUAAGCUAUUAAGUUCAUGGUUGAAUCAUCGACGGUGAGAGGCGGUAACCGUAAUUUUCCGACGAAGAAGUAAUGGUUGAAACUGAUGUCGGUUAAACAACUUGUUUCGCUUGCUUCUAACCAUAUCCCGGCGUUUUUAAGCUCUUUUACGUUACGAAACGGGUGUGAAUGGUGAGGUUUUAUUCUUGUAUGGUUUCUGCGAUUUGUGAAGGAUAUGCAAAACCUAGAAGGCCAUGGUUUUUCUUUUUUGAAAAGGAGUCUUACUCGUAGUAGAUGCAAUAAGUGAAUUGGCUCUUUAUUUUUUUCUUGCAGCUGCUGCCACCAUUCACUAGAGCAAAAUCUGUGUUAGUCGGGAGCAAGCUAAAAUUAAGGUUUUCAAUGGUUGAAUCAAAUCAUUAUUAUUUAAUAAAAAAUUAUUUAAAUUAUUAAAUUACAUUUUAAUCCUUUUAAAAAUUAUUAAAUUAUAAAUUUGUAUACAAUAAAAUUAUAUUUUGACUCCUCAAAAUGAAUAAAAAAUUGUUUAAACACUUUUAAAAAAUGAUGACAUCAUAAAUUAAUGCAAAAAAAAAAUCUAAGAAUUAAACCAAACUUGUCUAUCGGCCUAAUUAAACAGAGAAUCAAGCAAGGUACUAAUCCAGAAUAAUAAAUUAAAUCCAUUGAAUCUAAUCAUCAAAUCGAUUUUUUUUAUAUUUUUAAUAUAUCUUUAAUAUUUUUAAAAUUUUAUAUAAUUGAAUCGAAUAAACUAAUCAACCAAAAAUGAGACUCUAAUGGAUUGUAUCACCUAUAUAUGUAGUUGUAAAAAUCCUUUUAACAUUUAUAAACUCCACAAAUUGAUUCAUUUAUAAAUUCCUUAAAUUACCUGUCCUGCUGAUGUGAUUGUGGGUCUUUAACAGUGCCGUUGAUGAACCUUAUGAUUGCCUCCAUGAAUUUUGUGCCAUCCUUCGAUCUUGUAAGCAAUUCAAGAACACGAAAAGGUAAUUGGUUUUCCAACAAGAACAGAUCCGAGUACACAAAUGUUAGCAAUUCGUUUUUAAUAGAAAAUUCGUUCGACGUACGACAACGAUCUUGGCCGUAAAGCAUAUAAACUGCUUGUAAAAUUGCGCAGCCGUCAACGAAGAACAUCCAAGCCAGUUUCUCGUUAUCGUUGCUAUAGUUCUCUAAUCCCUUUGGAUCAUAGCAUUUCUUUAAGCCAUCGAUCUCUGUCUUCAUGUUGUUGUACAAGGUAUCCUUAUCGACGCCAAUUUUUUUAACGAAAAGUGCUGCUAAUUUGAGCUUGAGCUUCUCGGAUUUAUGGAGGGUGGCAUCAUCGUGGUAGAAUGGGCCGAUUGAGAUCACUUUCGGCUUGAAAUACUUACUGAAAUCUUCGUGACGACCAAGGGUUGAUGGGACUCUUUGUAUCAAUGGUUUGGCACCGAGGUCGAUUUCGUCGCCGUCGAAAGCUUCGUCUAAUGACCGGAGAUUCACUACUUCGCCAACGCUGAGAGGGACGUCCAUAUCAAUGCUCACGGAAUCGUUGUUGUCGGUGAUUGUUUGAUCAGUGGAAACUGCUCCGACGGCGCCGCCUC